RNAcentral lists this long non-coding RNA (3568 nucleotides) under Papio anubis (olive baboon). RNAcentral's name for it is "lncRNA (ENSPANG00000036397.2)". The record is from RNAcentral. Lineage: Eukaryota; Metazoa; Chordata; Mammalia; Primates; Cercopithecidae.
AGUUCAGUUCAUGAAACGAAGGCAUUCCCCUGCCACCUUGUGGCAAGGUAUCCUAAUUAGGUAUUAAAGGUUUUUUGGUUUUUUAGUUUUUUGUUUGUUUGUUUUUUACAAUUACAAUAUAUUUUUAGUUGCAAAUUUAGAGUUUUUUUAAAUGUUGAGUCUACCACUUAACAUUAUAAAAUUAUAUUUAGGACCUCUGAAACAUGCCAACCUAAUUCUAAAUAGUUCUUCAAUACAAUAAAAGCAAAUAGUCUAAAAUCCAACUGUGUUUUAAAGAACCAAUAAUUACGCAAAGUUUCCAUAGUGCUUUGAAUAUAGUUGGACUUCUAAAUUUCAAGAUGACAAAAAGGUAAGUUUUCUUUGUUAUUCUCUAAUGCAUUUUCUCACCAUGUAGUAAAAGAAACAGUAAGAGGAGUUUACAACUGCUACUACAUUUAAGUUUUGUGAGCUCAACCUGGGGUGGGAGGUUGAGAAAAUGUCCUAGAAAAGAUCACUGUAGCAGACUGAUUCCACUCUAUCCAGGGAAGUUCCUAAAGGAAUGUAUGUUGCUGCAGCAAAUGAAAUAUCUCAGUACACGGAUACCUGGAAAGAGCAAGUGGGGCAGCAAUGGAGGACCAAAAGAACUUCAAUCCUAAGAAAAAUGCUUUGGCAGAAAGGGCUUAACGGAACCACAGAAGGAUUCCAAGGAAGAGUUACAUUUCAGCCAAGAUUGAAGGAUGAGUAUAUUUCUCCAGGAAGUUACAGGGUAGAGAAUAAUAGAAGGCGAGAGAGGAAGAAAAGAGAAGGAUAAUUUUGCAGAGGGCAUAACAUGACCCAUGCCAGGUCGAAUGAAAAAGGCAAAGACAUUGGGGAUGGAAGAUGACCUGUUACUGAGAGGUAAGUCAUAUUACAAAAGUCAUGUUUGAAUUUUCUUUCCUGUAGGUAGAAGUACAUUGAAAUAUUUCAAUCAGGAGAGUCAUGUGAUCAGACUGUCAGUAUAGAAAUAUGUCUCUGACAGUAGAAUAAAAGUAUGAUUGGAAAAGAAACUGGAGGCUGGAAAACCAGUUGUUGCAAUUGUGCAGUGAGAAAUGACGGAUGUUUUAAUUAAGGAAUUACAAUGGGGUGAAAGAGGAGGAGCCACAUUAAGCGAUGUUUAGGAAGAACAAUCAACAUGACUAGGUAAAAACUGGAUGAAGGGGAGAGAGCAGGGGAAAGCUAGAUGCAAACUGGGUGGUGUUAUUUACCAGAAUAAGGAAUGUGUGUUUAAGGACUAAGUUUUGUGCAGAAGAUGACCAGGUUCGUCAGAUAUGCUGAGGUUAAGGUAAUUCCUGUAUAGCCACCUGCAAAUGUCUACAAGAUAUUUGUAAAAGGAUGGAGGGCAGAAGAGAUGAACGGGUCGAAGUCAUGAACUUGGUAGUAAUCUGGUUCUGAGUGUUAAUUGAAGUGAAGUUCCUUGAUGAAAUCUACAGAAUACAAAAGAGAUUAAAAGAGCCAAAGUCUCUUUUGCAUCCAAGAGACACUCACAUCCAAGAGGUAAAUGAAAGAGGGGAUCCAGUGAAAGAAAGGGAGGCAUUUCUUUCAAUAGGGGAAAUUAUUUUAAUUUGAAAUCCAGCGAGGAGGCAAUAUCAGUCUCAAGGAGUUGAUUUGAAAUUCUUUCUUUUAAUAUUUAAUAUAUAUGUUCACCCCUUAUAGGUAGUAGAUAAAAUAUUCUCCAUUUUCAUAAUUUUCCUAAGAUAAAAGAUAAUGAUCAUUUAAUGUAUGUUUAACUUUUGGUUUGUGGAAGGUCUUUCAUGCUUUGUUUUCUAUUUAAGUCUUCAAUUACUUCUCAGUAGAGAGCAAAACAAGAAAAAUUGUGAUUUCCUUCCUUGCAUCUAAAUCUGUAUUUAAUAACUGAAUGUCUGCAAACAGUACCAGGCAAUGCAGUAAUUAUAAGAUUACUAAAGGGCAUUGUUGGUAUGAACAUAUUUCAUUUAGAUGCAAACUUUGGUGCUGUAUUUCAGACACUUCGGAAAUACACUGAUCCAUACUAGAAAUUAGCAGAGAUUUACAACAUAUUGAUACUAACGGUUCAUCACAUGUUUACAAAUAUUUCUCUAUUAUUUGCUCCCAAGAUAACAAUUACCAUAGGUUUAUGAAAGGACGUGAUCUAGCUCUUCUGCUCCAUAUUAUGUUUCAAGAAGGACUUGAAUUGAAGGACUUGCAAUUGAAUCUUUAACCACAUAGAUUAAGUACUGAUUCUUCUAUUUCUUAGGUAUUAUUCUUGGGCAAGUUGGUUCAGUUUAUUUCAACAAUUUUUUUACUAAAUUUCUAUUAUUACCAAGUACUGGAGAAACAAAGCUAAAUGAAAUAUAAAUAUGUAUAGAACAUUUCAUAAUAAUAAGAGAAGUAGGCACAGGGCGCUGUGAGUUUGAAAGAGAUUCUUCUUAUUCAGCUUGAGGAAUAAGAGGUGGCCAGCAUUUCUGGAGGAGAGAUGCCCGAGGUGAUUUUUAGUCAUGGAAGUCAUCACCUUUUCUCCACCCCAAACCUGGUCACACAUGUUUGUGUCUAAAACUCUCUUUUAUUCCACUAAAAGAGAACAAAAAUGCAGUGCACAAUGAAUAAUAGGGUGUGCCUGGGGAACCAAAUGUAGUUUUGUAUUACCAGAAAUUAAAACAUGAGAUGUGGAUUUGUUGAAGUUCAGGCAGAUGUCAUGGAGGCUUCACAGGCUCGGAUGAAAGCUUGGCACGUAAUUGAAGUGAUUUGUUGACAUAAGAAAAGUAGUCACAGUUAAAUCUGCAUUGCUGUUACAUAACUCUGGUGGCAAUGUGUAGGGUGUAUUUGAAGGGGGCAAAUCUGGAACCAUUUUUAAUGCUUCAAUGAGGCAUGAUAAGGGCUUGAACUUGGCCAUGACAAAGUCGGGGAAAGGAAGGGCACAAUUAAGAAAAAGUAAGGAGGUAACUACUUAUGACAGUGCUUGUUGAGCUAGAAAAAGCACAGCUUUAAGAGCGAGUGAGGCCUGAACUUGAACCCCAGCUUAAUUACUUAAAAGCUUGAGCCUUUUACAAGUGACGGUAAUUCUUGAUUUUCUGUAAUCCUGAAAGCGAGGGUGACUUUGCUUUGUGUCAUCCUAGAGAUUAGGCAUAAUUUAAAGCACCUAAAAUAAAUAAUUACCAAAGGUCGGUUCCUGGUUAACAUAAGUAAACAAACCUGUUUCCCCUAUACUUCCUUGUACCUAAAUUUCCCCUGUACCUACUUACUUGUACCUAAAUUCCCCUACACUUCCUUUUACCUAAUCCUUGCCCUCUGCCUCAGGGUAAGAGAACAGCUGCCUUCAGUUUAUUCUCCCCAGAAGCUACACAGAGCCGUCUGACCUGUCAGAAGGUUUGCACCCUCUCCAUAUUUCUCCCACCACACUGACCAGUCUCCUACAUGACCUUUCAGGCUCUUAGCUUAAAUGCCAUGUGAAUAGGGUCAUUGUUUUAGGUUAUGGAUUUCUUCUUAUUAAGGGACACUAUGUAAGAGUCCUUUCAAAACUAUCAUAGAGAGAAAUACUUGCUAUAAAUAAUAUAAUAAUAAUAAUAAUAAUAAUAAUAAUAAUAGCAAGCAGGAU